Molecule: ribosomal RNA, 449 nt
Filed under: uncultured bacterium
Lineage: Bacteria
Description: partial 16S ribosomal RNA
Rfam family: Bacterial small subunit ribosomal RNA
Source: RNAcentral
AGCGAACGCUGGCGGCAGGCCUAACACAUGCAAGUCGAACGAAGUCUUCGGACUUAGUGGCGGACGGGUGAGUAACACGUGGGAACGUGCCUUUAGGUUCGGAAUAACUCAGGGAAACUUGUGCUAAUACCGAAUGUGCCCUUCGGGGGCAAGAUUUAUCGCCUUUAGAGCGGCCCGCGUCUGAUUAGCUAGUUGGUGAGGUAAAGGCUCACCAAGGCGACGAUCAGUAGCUGGUCUGAGAGGAUGAUCAGCCACAUUGGGACUGAGACACGGCCCAAACUCCUACGGGAGGCAGCAGUGGGGAAUCUUGCGCAAUGGGCGAAAGCCUGACGCAGCCAUGCCGCGUGAAUGAUGAAGGUCUUAGGAUUGUAAAAUUCUUUCACCGGGGACGAUAAUGACGGUACCCGGAGAAGAAGCCCCGGCUAACUUCGUGCCAGCAGCCGCCGCUG